Molecule: unclassified non-coding RNA, 361 nt
Filed under: Hevea brasiliensis (rubber tree)
Lineage: Eukaryota; Viridiplantae; Streptophyta; Magnoliopsida; Malpighiales; Euphorbiaceae
Source: RNAcentral
CACACACACACACACACACAUGUAUGCAUACAGUCACAUACAAAGUUGUCAGACUUGCUUUUUUAACCUUGACUCGGUGAAGGAGCUGUAAAAUCAUGUCGCUUUUUUAACCUACAAUUCUCCCUCAUCAUCUCUUAGUUUUAAAUUUUGUGCUAGAGGCGUAUCUACUCGUUUACAACCAGUUAGACCAAUAUCCUGCAAUAAUUCCAAGGUAUAUUUCUGCUACAAGGUACAUAUACCCAGAAAAACUUCAAUGCCCCAAUUCUUUAAUCUGAAAAGAGUAUUCAAAUAAUCCUUCAAACUCUGAAUUUCAUCUUUACUGUCUAAAUCAGGCUGCUGGUCGUGAUAGUUUACAUAGAUG